AAAAGAAAGUGGGAGAGUAACAAGCUAAAUGCCCGGUGGAGAAUAAACAUUGGCCCGGCGUUCUCUCGCUACAAGCCCUUGUAGCGCCGUCGUCUUGGACGAGAUGGUUGAAGGAUGUAAAGACGUUCAUCACCUCCAGGACUACAUCAGAUCUGGAAAACUUCCAGAAUCACAUCCUCAUGCAGGGAAGGUUCUCCUACUCCAGCAGUGAAUCGCACGCGGACUCUCCCAGCACGAAACAUGGAUGGACACAAGAUGCUACUGCUACUAUAGUCAUUGUAUUUAUUUACAGUAACUUCUUA
Long non-coding RNA from Cololabis saira (Pacific saury), 302 nucleotides. RefSeq lists it as uncharacterized. The record is from RefSeq and is a predicted model, not a curated record. The transcript is spliced from 3 exons. NCBI's taxonomy places the organism in Eukaryota, Metazoa, Chordata, Actinopteri, Beloniformes, Belonidae.